Molecule: small nuclear RNA, 103 nt
Organism: Vombatus ursinus (common wombat)
Lineage: Eukaryota; Metazoa; Chordata; Mammalia; Diprotodontia; Vombatidae
Source: Ensembl
UUGCUUUGGCAGCACAUAUACUAAAAUUUGAAAGAUACAGAGAAGAUUAGCACGGCCCCUCCCCAAAGAUGACACAGAAAUUUGUGAAGCAUUCCAUAUUUUA